UGGCAACUUGAUCAGUGAGCAUUUCUGUUUGGUGAGGAUGUAAUUUUGAGAUGAGAAAGAAAAAGUACAGAUUUGGCAAUUUGGGCAACUAUGUGUGAAAUAGUUUGAGGACAUGUCUACAUAUAAAGACAAAGUCAUUGCAAUGUGGGCGCACGUGGCUGGGGAAAAUGUUGUGUUUCUGGAUGCUCAGAGAUCCGUGUAAAUGAUACAGACAAGGUUAUGGCAAAUGCUGACAAGGGAACGGACUUUGUAGGAUAGAACACAUGGGAUGUGCUAGGUAUACUGUGCACCCACAUUUGAAGCCAGCCCUCUAGGAAGCAGAGUCUUCAAUAGUUUGAGCAGUGGGGCCUAUGGUUUUAAUGAUCCUGUCAUCAGUUUGUUUGGGGCACAAUAUGUAUGGGCAGUCACCCGAGCUGGAGGGUUACGAAUUUACUUACUUCAUUUUAUCUAUGGAAAAGUACAUUCGUGGAAUCAGUGCAUGGAAUUUUGAUCUGGAGGAUUUGAAAGCUCAAGCUACCAUUGACAAAGAGGGUGCAUGAUUGGUGUAAAAAUAGGCAGUGACUUAGACGAGUUGAUUUAUCAAUGCAUGUACUAGCAAUGAAUCCGAGGAAGGAAAUCAAUGUGGUGCUGAAGAAGGAAGCAGAUUAUUUUGGCGACAUUGUGAUUUUGCCAUUUAUGGACCGUUAUGAGUUUGUGGUUCUUAAAACCAUUGCCAUCUGUGAGUAUGGGGGAUUUAUCCAGUAACUUGCUAUAUGGAGAUAUUCCAUUAUCGACAUCUAGGCUCAAACAACUUGCUAUAUGGAGAUAUUCCGAUAACUUACUAUGUAGGACCUUGAAA
Magnolia sinica is the source of this 838-nucleotide RNA transcript. It is a transcript of the gene named hydroxyproline O-galactosyltransferase GALT2-like, with no coding region annotated. Lineage: Eukaryota; Viridiplantae; Streptophyta; Magnoliopsida; Magnoliales; Magnoliaceae. The transcript has 7 exons. The record is from RefSeq and is a predicted model, not a curated record.